RNAcentral lists this ribosomal RNA (353 nucleotides) under uncultured bacterium. Its description in RNAcentral is "bacterial SSU rRNA". It matches the Rfam family "Bacterial small subunit ribosomal RNA", at positions 28 to 340 of the family's 1533-position model. The record is from RNAcentral.
GGUGAACGCUGGCGGCGUGCCUAAGGUAUGCAAGUCGAACGGUCCCGAUUUAUCGGGAUAGUGGCGAACGGGUGAGUAACACGUUGGAACCUGUCCCGAAGUGGAGCAUAGCUCCGGGAAACCGGAAUUAAUACUCCAUAGUCCCAAGCACCUUUUGUAACUACUGCGUUUUAUCAAAUUUUGAUAAAGCUUGGUGAACUGCAAAAGGUGCUUGGGUAAAGCUUUACGCGCUUUGGGAGGGGCUCGCGUCCGAUUAGCUUGUUGGUGAGGUAAAGGCUCACCAAGGCGAUGAUCGGUAGCUGGUCUGAGAGGAUGAUCAGCCACACUGGAACUGAGACACGGUCCAGACCCCG